CAGCAGCCGCGGUAAUACGAAGGGUGCAAGCGUUAAUCGGAAUUACUGGGCGUAAAGCGUGCGUAGGCGGUGAGUUAAGUCUGCUGUGAAAUCCUCGGGCUCAACCUGGGAAUGGCAGUGGAUACUGGCUCGCUAGAGUGUGUCAGAGGAUGGUGGAAUUCCCGGUGUAGCGGUGAAAUGCGUAGAGAUCGGGAGGAACAUCAGUGGCGAAGGCGGCCAUCUGGGACAACACUGACGCUGAGGCACGAAAGCGUGGGGAGCAAACAGGAUUAGAUACACCCGUAGUCCCUGUCUCUUAUAC
Molecule: ribosomal RNA, 301 nt
Filed under: uncultured bacterium
Lineage: Bacteria
Description: partial 16S ribosomal RNA
Rfam family: Bacterial small subunit ribosomal RNA
Source: RNAcentral